This 401-nucleotide long non-coding RNA is filed under the name Carica papaya (papaya). RNAcentral describes it as "long non-coding RNA (CPAP_LNC001447)". The record is from RNAcentral. Lineage: Eukaryota; Viridiplantae; Streptophyta; Magnoliopsida; Brassicales; Caricaceae.
AGAGGAGAAAAAUAUUUUUGGCACGAAAAAUGGAGGAGGAAAAUUUCCUCCACCGGCGACGGUGGUGCACUGCCCGAGGUGGCAGUGCCUGACCAUCACGCUGCAUGUGCAUAAGCCUGCUGUUAUGCAUACAAGGGCUAGCCUGCGUGCAAGCCCCAAGCGCACGAGGCCUGUCCGUGUAGGCUUGGUACACGAAUGGCACGCGCACAAUGUGCAGCGCUAGUCCAUGCGCAAUGUGACAUGCAGAUGGCCCGGCUGCGCACGACAGGAUGCACACGCAAGUCCUAACCCCGCACCGUGCGCACUGUGCGCACGUCCCAUCUAUGCUAGCGUGCUGAUGGGACUUGCACGCUAUGCGCACCUCCCGCAGCCACUGUGCGCACAGGCACCCUCACAUAGUG